Non-coding RNA from Camelina sativa (false flax), 352 nucleotides. The record is from RefSeq and is a predicted model, not a curated record. NCBI's taxonomy places the organism in Eukaryota, Viridiplantae, Streptophyta, Magnoliopsida, Brassicales, Brassicaceae.
UAAAACAGUUAUAAUUUGGGACGUGAAGGCAUGCCCGAUCCCUGAAGGUCUUGACAGUUAUGAUAUUUGGAACAACGUCCAAAAAUCCCUAUCGAAUAUUGGGUGACUCUAAAGAAGCUGAAGAUGAGAGACGUAAAAAGAUUUUAGUGGACCUGUUAUGCGAGGCAGGCGAAAAUCGCUCAAGAAUAAACUUGUUGCUGAUCAUUGGAGACGUGUCAGAACAGACCCAGUUCAUGAGGGCUCUUAAGUUUUUGAAAGAGGCGAAGCCCCACAAUGUUUUCCUGGCACUCCCUCGUCCUCCAUCAUCAGAGGAUUUGGUUGCAACUGUAAGUGAAGUUUGGCUUUGGGAAAC